Molecule: ribosomal RNA, 776 nt
Filed under: uncultured Neocallimastigales
Lineage: Eukaryota; Fungi; Neocallimastigomycota; Neocallimastigomycetes; Neocallimastigales
Description: partial large subunit ribosomal RNA
Rfam family: Eukaryotic large subunit ribosomal RNA
Source: RNAcentral
ACACGCAUGACACACUGCAUAUCAAUAAGCGGAGGAAAAGAAACUAACAAGGAUUCCCCUAGUAACGGCGAGUGAAGCGGGAAGAGCUCAAAUUUGAAAUCUUAAAGGGUUUCCCUUUACGAAUUGUAGUUUAAAGAAGUGUUUUCUGUUGGAGUUUCGGUAAAAGUUCUUUGGAAUAGGACAUCAUAGAGGGUGAGAAUCCCGUAUUUGGUCAUUCCUCCUAGCGUUGUGAUACACUUUCAACGAGUCGGAUUGUUUGGGAAUGCAGUCCAAAAUGGGUGGUAAAUUUCAUCUAAAGCUAAAUAUUGGCGAGAGACCGAUAGCGAACAAGUACCGUGAGGGAAAGAUGAAAAGAACUUUGAAAAGAGAGUUAAACAGUACGUGAAAUUGUCAAAAGGGAAGCGUUUGACACCAGUGUUGUUUUUCCGAAAAUCAAUUACGAAUGUUUUGUUUUUAAGAAGUUAUGACUUCAUCGGCUUGCUUCUUUCUUUACGAAACUUUCUUAAUGCACUUUUCGGUUAACAAGUCAACAUCAAUUUCUUUUGUUGUAAAAGGGUAUGAGGAAGGUGGCUUUCUUUUCGGAGAAAGUGUUUAUAGCCUUGUAGCCUCUGCAAUCGGAGAGAUUGAGGUCUGCAGCGUAGAUCCUUCGGGGUUAGAUACAGUUUGUGCUAAGUUAUAGCUUUUCAUAGACAACUUGUUGACUAUGUUUAGUCUUGUAGCUUACUCGCUUAUGCUAUUUUACCUACGCUUAGGAUGUUGAAUCUGUGCGAGACUAC